This 376-nucleotide ribosomal RNA is filed under the name uncultured eukaryote. Its description in RNAcentral is "partial 18S ribosomal RNA". It matches the Rfam family "Eukaryotic small subunit ribosomal RNA", at positions 592 to 976 of the family's 1831-position model. The record is from RNAcentral.
CAAGAGCGUAUAUUAAAGUUGCUGCGGUUAAAAAGCUCGUAGUUGGAUUUCAGUCUAGGAAGGUUAGCUCGCCGAAAGGUUGUACGUUGAUUUUCCUCAGACUUCGUCAGAAGCUCGUGCUGCACUUAACUGUGUGGUACGAUGUUCUGACCUUUUACCUUGAGGAAAGUAGAGUGUUUCAGGCAGGCUACCCAGCUUGAAUACAUUAGCAUGGAAUAAUGAAAUGGAUCUCGGUUCGAUUUCGUUGGUUCUAGAGCUGAGGUGAUGAUCAAUAGGAACAGGCGAAGGUAUUCGUACUUGAGAGUGAGGAGUGAAAUCCGAUGAUCUCUUAAAGACGAUCCGAGGCGAAAGCAUUUGUCAAGGAUGUUUUCAUUGA